Molecule: long non-coding RNA, 677 nt
Organism: Vicia villosa (hairy vetch)
Lineage: Eukaryota; Viridiplantae; Streptophyta; Magnoliopsida; Fabales; Fabaceae
Exons: 3
Source: RefSeq, a predicted model, not a curated record
GUUUUCCCAAGCAUUGAAAAUACACUGCUUUUUACUCUGAGUCCCUUCCAAUUCCUUUCCUCCAUCUAUAAAGUUAUUCCCUUUUGAAGAAAAAAAAUUGAAUCCUAUGACUCGGAAUAAUGUUAUGAGUUGCAGUCUAUGGGACACUUAUGGAUCGAAGUUUUCAAGGACGUGAUGCGCAAAUAUUCAUUUUAGAUCUGCAAAUAUAUGUUUUUAUUUUUUUACAAUCAGAUAUGCAUGAAGAGCUUCUAGAAAAAAUUGAUGUUUCAUCAUAAUCAAAUCUGUAGGAACAGUUUAUGGGAAAAAAUUGAAAUCAACUCAAGCAUUCAAGGGCGUAGAGGUGGAAGAAAUCAAAGUCAUGGAUAUGGAGACUAACAAACCCCUCCUGAUCUGCGCUUCCAUCAGAAUCAGAUCUGCCAAUAUUGGUUGGUUUCAGAUCCACAAAUAUUGGGUUUUUUUUUCUCGAAUCAGAUUUGCAUGAAGAGUUUUUAGAGAAAAAAUCAUGUUUCAUCGUAAUCAAAUAAUCAAAUCUAAAGGAAGAGUUUUUGUCGAUACAGCCAAUAACAUUAAGCAAUUCGACUGAUAAUAGUGGGAGUUUGAGCAAUUGGAGUGAUGGAGACCCAUGUACAUUACCGAAAUAUUCCAAAAAAAAAGGCAAUAUCAAAUAUUUAAAGAAU